AGUUUCUCCAGCAUUUUUGUCUACCAUCAGUUAACUGCCUGCACGAGAUCCAUAUCCCUCCAUUCCCUGCAUAUUCACGUGCCUAUCUAAACGUCUUUUAAACAUCACUGUCGUGUCUGCCUCCAGCACCGC
Amblyraja radiata (thorny skate) is the source of this 132-nucleotide long non-coding RNA. RefSeq lists it as uncharacterized. The transcript is spliced from 3 exons. The record is from RefSeq and is a predicted model, not a curated record. Lineage: Eukaryota; Metazoa; Chordata; Chondrichthyes; Rajiformes; Rajidae.